RNAcentral lists this long non-coding RNA (2480 nucleotides) under Apis florea (little honeybee). Its description in RNAcentral is "uncharacterized LOC116415134". The record is from RNAcentral. Lineage: Eukaryota; Metazoa; Arthropoda; Insecta; Hymenoptera; Apidae.
UUUUUUAAAUAUAAUAAUACAUAUUUUAAAUAUGUCAACAUAUUAUAUGUAUCUAUAUAUUUUUGCAUAAUUGAAUUUACUAAAUCUUAUUAUUUUUGAUAUGAACCGCAUAUAGUACAUUAUAUCAGCAACAAAAAUAGCUGAACUGCAUUCCUCACAGCAUAAACGCUGAUAAAACAAACGUCAUUCAAUUAUUUAUACGAGAUCCGAGUCGAUGUAUCCGGUACAAAAUUUCACCGUGAAACAUAAGCACGUGGAUGAGGUAUCGUACACACGAUGGAUGAUACCUCAACCGGAAAGACUCUGCAACGCUAUCACCAUCCAAGGAGUUGUCCUUGUCUUUAGAGAAACCACUUACGAGGUCUUGAAAUGAAUUGUUCGUCUUUUGAAAGGAGUAAAGUGAAUGUGGAAUGAAUCUUGUGUGCUUUUAGAAACUUGUAAGAAGAAUCAGAUGCAAGGUCUUUAUUGAUUUUAAAAUCUAAUGAACAGUUUAUGAGAAUUUUAUACAGAGAAUUUUCAAUCGCGCAAUAUUGAACAAAUUAAAGAAAAUGAGCUAUAAAAAGAUGGACGAAGGAGUUGUAUUUGAAGAUCAUCAAGAUUCUAGGCUCUGAUGAGAAUUUCGUAAGAAUUUUGUACAAUUUCUUAUGCUGAAAAGCUGAUUUAUAUUUCUUCUACAGUUCUAUAGUGAAAAAACUUUUAUUAUGGCGCUCCUGUUAUAUCUUGAAUUAUAUCUUGAAUAUUCAAAUAAAAUAAAAAAAUUGCUUCGAUAUCUGUGAUAUUUAUGACAUUUCAAUAUUUUUAAAGAUAAAUGAAAUGAAGGAAAAUGAUAAAUGAUUUAUCAGAAGAAAACAAUUUUAUUUGAAAGUUGUUCUAAAAAUUCAUCUAUUUAUGAAAAAGAGACAUCCUCUCAGAAAAGGGAUAUAUACAAUAUAUCCUUAUAAUCUAGUUUCCAACUUUUGGAUCAAUAGUAUCGUUAAAAGUUUUAACGUUUUCCUCCUUAACAAUUAUUGAUAAAAAGAGUUUCGGUGUUUCAGAGAUAAAAAUUUAUUAUAUCGAUUUUCAUACGACUUCCAUGGAAAGAAAUUGAAAUAAAAAAUUUUUUUUUUCAAUUGAAGCAUCUUUUGUAAAAAAGAUGUAAUAAAAUAACAAUCGAUUCUUCAAAGAAUAUUAACAAUGUUUAUUGAUCGAUUCUAUGGAUUUUAUUGAAAAUGUAAUUACUAUUCCAAUCGUAUUUUCUGUUUAGAAGUAGAAUUUCAAUCAUCAACGCUAUGCAAGUACUACUCACCUUACCAUCCCACAUGUGAGUGCAAUUUAAUCUCAUAGUCGUAAAUAUUCUGUAAAGAAAUAAUAAUCAUUUUUAAUAGCCACUCAAACUACUUAAAAACACAUACUUAUAAGCACUUUUUGUCUUAGGUUAUAAUGUCGAGCACGUAUACUAAAAUGAUCAAAGGAUGUUUUUUUAUUCUCUUUUUUUCUUCCUUCUUUUCUGAUAAGUAUUAUACAGUUUAAAUUUUUUUUAUUUUAUAAUAAUUAAAAAUUAUAUACUUAAUAUAUUAUACUUAUAUACUUUAAUUUCAAUUUAUCUUAAAUUACAGUUAAACAAUUUCUCAAGAUAUUAAUACAGAAGAAAAAUCAAGUUUCGUUGAUAUAUAUAUACAAUGUAUACAUAACUUUCAUUUGCGUUUUCUGAAUUGAGAACGGUUCAUUAUGUUCAUAAAUAUAUGUUCAAUUCAAUACCGCAUUUCAUUUAAAAAUUUAUCAAGUGAAUUAAAUGCGAAUGACAAGCUCGGCAACGUGAUAAAUGAAUCAGAAUCGCAUGUAUACAUUACACUACUUAGACGCGUGUGAAUCAAAGCGUUACGUAGGUUACGUAUGUUUUACCUAUAGUUAGUCACUAGAUGAAUUCACUGUGCAUGUUCCCCUCGAUCACUUCCUGUAUAGCGCGACGUAACCUCUGUCGCAUAUGAAAUUUGGAAACGGCCAGGCUUUGAACGUGUCCACCAUGAAAAAUAAUUUCCUUGUACCGUGUAUACAAGAGGAAUACAAGCUGGAACAAUGUAAUGAAUACGUUAUAUCGUGUUUUAUACCGGUUUUGAAGACAUGUACAAUUGUUCUAUAAAAAAGACAAAGAAAAAGAGAGAUUGGUCAUCAUAUAGCACGCAGGCGGAAUAUGUAUACCUCUGACGCAUGUAAUUUAGUGGCAACAAAUGUUCAAUAAAUCUGUCUCUUGCUUCUCGAAUGGUUGGCCAUCUGUAAUUUAUUGUCGGCCAAUAUCAGCUGCUUUGUAUAGUCUAACAAUCGACUUGUUUAAUCGUCGAUUUAUUAAUAGUCAUUGCUUUGGAAAUUCUUGAAAGUCACGAGGUAAGAGUAGAUUUCUUUCGAUUUAAUUCGUAAGUUGAUUGUUUUUAGUUUGAAAGUAUAGAUGAGGUAUAGAUAGAUAGUGAAGAAUAAAUGCAUACUUCAGAAGAAAAAUUUGUUUG